RNAcentral lists this transfer RNA (73 nucleotides) under Canis lupus familiaris (dog). It matches the Rfam family "tRNA". From Rfam's summary of the family: Transfer RNA (tRNA) molecules are approximately 80 nucleotides in length. Their secondary structure includes four short double-helical elements and three loops (D, anti-codon, and T loops). Lineage: Eukaryota; Metazoa; Chordata; Mammalia; Carnivora; Canidae. The record is from Rfam by way of RNAcentral.
ACCUAGCUGGCUCAGCUGGUGGAGUGUGCAACUCUUGAUCUCAGAGUUGUGGGUUCAAACCCCACUUUGGGUG